CCUACGGGAGGCAGCAGUCGGGAAUAUUGGACAAUGGGCGCAAGCCUGAUCCAGCAAUACCGCGUGUGUGAAGAAGGCCUGCGGGUUGUAAAGCACUUUCAGUGGGGAAGAUAAUGACGUUACCCACAGAAGAAGCACCGGCUAACUCCGUGCCAGCAGCCGCGGUAAUACGGAGGGUGCAAGCGUUAAUCGGAAUUACUGGGCGUAAAGCGUGCGUAGGCGGUUAUUUAAGUCAGAUGUGAAAUCCCCGGGCUCAACCUGGGAACUGCAUCUGAUACUGGGUAACUAGAGUGUGGGAGAGGAGAGUGGAAUUUCCGGUGUAGCGGUGAAAUGCAUAGAGAUCGGAAGGAACACCAGUGGCGAAGGCGGCUCUCUGGACCAACACUGACGCUGAGGCACGAAAGCGUGGGUAGCAAACAGGAUUAGAUACCCCAGUAGU
Molecule: ribosomal RNA, 439 nt
Filed under: uncultured Thiothrix sp.
Lineage: Bacteria; Pseudomonadati; Pseudomonadota; Gammaproteobacteria; Thiotrichales; Thiotrichaceae
Description: bacterial SSU rRNA
Rfam family: Bacterial small subunit ribosomal RNA
Source: RNAcentral